ACCUAGAACCCACAAAGGGUGUUGG
This 25-nucleotide non-coding RNA is filed under the name Arabidopsis thaliana (thale cress). The record is from RNAcentral. Lineage: Eukaryota; Viridiplantae; Streptophyta; Magnoliopsida; Brassicales; Brassicaceae.